This 733-nucleotide ribosomal RNA is filed under the name uncultured Gammaproteobacteria bacterium. RNAcentral's name for it is "bacterial SSU rRNA". It matches the Rfam family "Bacterial small subunit ribosomal RNA", at positions 771 to 1504 of the family's 1533-position model. The record is from RNAcentral. Lineage: Bacteria; Pseudomonadati; Pseudomonadota; Gammaproteobacteria.
AACAGGAUUAGAUACCCUGGUAGUCCACGCCGUAAACGAUGUCGACUUGGAGGUUGUGCCCUUGAGGCGUGGCUUCCGGAGCUAACGCGUUAAGUCGACCGCCUGGGGAGUACGGCCGCAAGGUUAAAACUCAAAUGAAUUGACGGGGGCCCGCACAAGCGGUGGAGCAUGUGGUUUAAUUCGAUGCAACGCGAAGAACCUUACCUACUCUUGACAUCCAGAGAACUUAGCAGAGAUGCUUUGGUGCCUUCGGGAACUCUGAGACAGGUGCUGCAUGGCUGUCGUCAGCUCGUGUUGUGAAAUGUUGGGUUAAGUCCCGCAACGAGCGCAACCCUUAUCCUUUGUUGCCAGCGGUCCGGCCGGGAACUCAAAGGAGACUGCCAGUGAUAAACUGGAGGAAGGUGGGGAUGACGUCAAGUCAUCAUGGCCCUUACGAGUAGGGCUACACACGUGCUACAAUGGCGCAUACAAAGAGAAGCGACCUCGCGAGAGCAAGCGGACCUCAUAAAGUGCGUCGUAGUCCGGAUUGGAGUCUGCAACUCGACUCCAUGAAGUCGGAAUCGCUAGUAAUCGUAGAUCAGAAUGCUACGGUGAAUACGUUCCCGGGCCUUGUACACACCGCCCGUCACACCAUGGGAGUGGGUUGCAAAAGAAGUAGGUAGCUUAACCUUCGGGAGGGCGCUUACCACUUUGUGAUUCAUGACUGGGGUGAAGUCGUAACAAGGUAGCCGUA